RNAcentral lists this transfer RNA (73 nucleotides) under Longibacter salinarum. It matches the Rfam family "tRNA". From Rfam's summary of the family: Transfer RNA (tRNA) molecules are approximately 80 nucleotides in length. The record is from Rfam by way of RNAcentral. Lineage: Bacteria; Pseudomonadati; Rhodothermota; Rhodothermia; Rhodothermales; Salisaetaceae. RNAcentral also lists the same sequence under 1 other name.
UGCCCAGUAGCUCAAUUGGCAGAGCAUCUGAUUCUGGUUCAGAAGGUUGAUGGUUCGAGUCCAUCCUGGGCAA